This 62-nucleotide transfer RNA is filed under the name Gampsocleis sedakovii. RNAcentral's name for it is "tRNA-Cys". Lineage: Eukaryota; Metazoa; Arthropoda; Insecta; Orthoptera; Tettigoniidae. The record is from RNAcentral.
GGUCUUAUAGUCAAUAAUGACGCCAGACUGCAAUUCUGGAGGUGUAUAAACUACUAAGGCUU